CCAGUUGAUCAAAACACGACAGGCAACAACACAGUGGAAAAUGACUUGUAUGAAGGGUCACGCGAUGUCCAACCAAUGAUCGCAGCUGAGAAUCAGGAGGAUGACUUUAUGUUGUCAGAUGCAUACGCGAGUGCUGACCUGCCAGUGACGAACACGUGCACACCACGGGAGGAGGUUCCAUCUGAUGACGUCAACUUAGAGAACCUCUCACCAGUUUAUCAAAACACGACAGGCAAUAUCACAGGUA
Long non-coding RNA from Haliotis rufescens (red abalone), 247 nucleotides. RefSeq lists it as uncharacterized. The record is from RefSeq and is a predicted model, not a curated record. The transcript has 4 exons. Lineage: Eukaryota; Metazoa; Mollusca; Gastropoda; Lepetellida; Haliotidae.